Molecule: long non-coding RNA, 569 nt
Filed under: Triticum aestivum (bread wheat)
Lineage: Eukaryota; Viridiplantae; Streptophyta; Magnoliopsida; Poales; Poaceae
Description: long non-coding RNA (TAES_LNC023008)
Source: RNAcentral
GGCGGCAUGCUCCUCCACCUGCGCUCGCUCCGGCGCUUUGAGCAGAGCGGUGGUUGGAUCCGCGCGCUGCUGGAGGAGGCCGAGAACGAGCGCAUGCACCUCAUGACCUUCAUGGAGGUGGCGCAGCCGAGGUGGUACGAGCGCGCCCUCGUCAUCGCCGUCCAGGGCGUCUUCUUCAACGCCUACUUCUUCGGCUACCUCAUCUCGCCCAAGUUCGCGCACCGCGUCGUCGGGUACCUCGAGGAGGAAGCCGUCCACUCCUACACCGAGUUCCUCAAGGACCUUGACGACGGCAAGAUCGACAACGUCCCCGCCCCGGCCAUCGCCAUCGACUACUGGCGCCUCCCUGCCAACGCCACCCUCAAGGACGUGGUCACCGUGGUGCGCGCCGACGAGGCUCACCACCGCGACGUCAACCACUUCGCAUCGGUACGCAUCCUUCCAAAUCCCACAAGAUCAGCAAGGCAAUCUUGACCCCAUUUCCUGCCCAGCCCAUGUGCAUCUGUUUAUGUGGAUUGGUUCGGAACUUCUGAUGAUGUAUAUGCUGAUUUGGUCUGUUGCAUGUGCCG